CCCUUUGUAGUUCAAUGGAUAGAACGGGCCCCUCCUAAGGGUCAAAUGCAGGUUCGAUUCCUGCCGAAGGGGCCA
Molecule: transfer RNA, 75 nt
Filed under: Comamonas sp.
Lineage: Bacteria; Pseudomonadati; Pseudomonadota; Betaproteobacteria; Burkholderiales; Comamonadaceae
Also listed under: 2 other names
Description: tRNA-Arg
Rfam family: tRNA
About the family: Transfer RNA (tRNA) molecules are approximately 80 nucleotides in length.
Source: RNAcentral